This 211-nucleotide long non-coding RNA is filed under the name Panax ginseng (ginseng). RNAcentral's name for it is "long non-coding RNA (PGIN_LNC007919)". Lineage: Eukaryota; Viridiplantae; Streptophyta; Magnoliopsida; Apiales; Araliaceae. The record is from RNAcentral.
UUUGAUAUAAUGUUAUAGUUGUGGGUAAUAUUUUUAAAUUUUGCAAAGUAAGCAAGUUGUUAUAAAAUAUUCGUUUGGUCGGGGAAUAUUCUUUUUGUCGGGGAAUAUUCGUACGACGACACAAUCAUUGGUGGACCCCAUAACAGAAUUAUUGUCGGAGUUAGAAAACGACAAAAUUAUCUUUUUAUAAAAAUAACGGCGGAAGUUUUAC